GACGAACGCUGGCGGCGUGCUUAACACAUGCAAGUCGAGCGGGAUCCGGGCUUUCGGGUUUGGUGAGAGUGGCGAACGGGUGAGUAACACGUGAGUAACCUGCCCCCUUCUUUGGGAUAACGUCGGGAAAUCGGCGCUAAUACUGGAUAUUCUUGCUGCAUCGCAUGGUGUGGUUUGGAAAGGGUUUCUGGUGGGGGAUGGGCUCGCGGCCUAUCAGCUUGUUGGUGGGGUGAUGGCCUACCAAGGCUUUGACGGGUAGCCGGCCUGAGAGGGUGUCCGGCCACACUGGGACUGAGACACGGCCCAGACUCCUACGGGAGGCAGCAGUGGGGAAUAUUGCACAAUGGGCGCAAGCCUGAUGCAGCGACGCCGCGUGAGGGAUGACGGCCUUCGGGUUGUAAACCCCUUUCAGUAUGGAACAAGGAUCCUUCUUUUGGGGGGUUUGAGGGUACGUGCAGAAGAAGCGCCGGCUAACUACGUG
RNAcentral lists this ribosomal RNA (481 nucleotides) under uncultured bacterium. RNAcentral describes it as "partial 16S ribosomal RNA". It matches the Rfam family "Bacterial small subunit ribosomal RNA", at positions 28 to 507 of the family's 1533-position model. The record is from RNAcentral.